Long non-coding RNA from Thalassophryne amazonica, 387 nucleotides. RefSeq lists it as uncharacterized. Lineage: Eukaryota; Metazoa; Chordata; Actinopteri; Batrachoidiformes; Batrachoididae. The transcript is spliced from 2 exons. The record is from RefSeq and is a predicted model, not a curated record.
UUAUCUUUUGCGUAUCAAAGAGUAGUUUCACAUACUGUGUACACCCACAAGAUAAAAAGAAAAUGUUUGUACAAGACACAGAAUUGUUAAUCAAUGUAAACAAUCCUAUCAGACCACACCAAAAAAAAAAAAAUUAAGAAAAGACCCUCAAUCACUAAACAGUCAAUGAUGUGGCACAACAGGAUGCUUUGUUUGUUUUUUGUCUGAGAGACUACAUUAUCCACAAAAACUUUAUGUACAUGUUGGGAAAAUGCAUCCAGUCUGUGCCAGAUGUGAACAGCUGUGCUGAAGACUGCAUCAAAGAACUGUUAACUUGGUUACACUCCCAGUAUCAAUGGUGCAUUUCCCAGCCUUCAGUACCAAAGCAUUUAAGUUUACGGAAACAAG